Molecule: ribosomal RNA, 511 nt
Filed under: Psylla alniformosanaesuga
Lineage: Eukaryota; Metazoa; Arthropoda; Insecta; Hemiptera; Psyllidae
Description: partial 16S rRNA
Rfam family: Archaeal large subunit ribosomal RNA
Source: RNAcentral
GCCUGUUUAUCAAAAACAUAUCUGGGAGAAAUAUGUUUUUGGUGUAACCUGCUCAAUGCUUUAGUAAAUAGCUGCAGUAUUUUGACUGUACAAAGGUAGCAUAAUCAAUAGUCUUUUGAUUGAAGGCUUGAAUGAAUGGUUGAACAGAAUAUUAUCUUUUUUAUUAAUAUGAUAUUUUAAUUUAUCGUUUAUGUAAAAAUGCAUAUAUAAUUGAAAGGGACGAUAAGACCCUAUAGAAUUUAAAAAUAAAAUAUGGGAUAUUCUCUUUUUUUGUUGGGGUGAUAAUGAAUAAACGUUUAUAAAAUUUUCAUUAAUAAAUGAUUAAAUGAUCCUAUUAAUUUAGAUAUAAAGAUAAAAUUACCUUAGGGAUAACAGCAUAAUUUUUUUUAAAAGAUCAUAUUAAUAAAAAAGAUUAUGACCUCGAUGUUGAAUUAAAAUACAAAUUUGGUGUAGAAGCUGAAUUUUUUAGUCUGUUCGACUUUAUAUUUUACAUGAUCUGAGUUCAGACCGG